Pezoporus flaviventris is the source of this 2859-nucleotide long non-coding RNA. RefSeq lists it as uncharacterized. The record is from RefSeq and is a predicted model, not a curated record. Lineage: Eukaryota; Metazoa; Chordata; Aves; Psittaciformes; Psittacidae. The transcript has 4 exons.
CAUUGCUAACAAAUUGCACAAUAAUUGCAGAGCUCAGCGCAAAACUCCCAGGACGCUCCCUCAUGCCCUGAACUAUUCCAGUUUCCAUCCCCUUCAGCCUACUAGGAAGCGCAGUGGAUGAGCUCAUGCCGUGGCUCUGGCUCCACACCCAUCCCGAGCAAGGACUUUCCCUGUGAGAUGUGAUCGUGGUUCCAAGCUGAAGUACAACGUGGGGAUGAAAGCUGCACCAUGAGCACCUUCAAGCGUGGAGAACACAAGUCCCACCGAGCUGCCAGGGAAUGCUGGGCAGACCCGGGAGCUGCUGCUCUGAGCUGGCCCCUCUUCCUCAGAGCACUUUAUGGGCACAAUGUGGGACAGGAUCCACCCCAUGGGUUGAUGACUGCAAAUCAAAGCCAACGUGACAGGGGCUCUGGGUGUCCCCACGUGCAUUCACAGCCGGAGCAGAGCUCUCAUCCCCCUCGACCGCGUUACCCAUCCCAGGGCUUGAAAAUAGAAGCAGGAGCCCUGAUUCACACUUCCCAGCCUCCUCAAGCCUGCAGCAGGGACCCGAGCAGGCAGCCCUGCGUGCUCCCCUGCCAGCCCUGCAUGGACACAACAGGCCGGCAGCAGCUGCCUCUGCUCAUUCACCGGCUUGGGAAUGCUUUUCCUUACAUAAUACAGGCAGGAACGUGAAGGUUUCAGCUCGCAACGGAGCUCCCACCCCUGCGCCGGCACGGACCGUGCCGGUGGGUUUCAUUCACCGAGCGCCAGCAGCGGAGGGCUCGGGAGGAUGCAGCUCUGCCAUGAGGAUGCCCUGGUCACUCCUGCAAAGCGCCUGGCCGCUGCUCCGGGAGGCAGCCGCAUCCUCUCCCUCUGCCAUGGCUGCGGGGAAGGAGCCGAAGGGGCCGAGGAUCGCACAGGGAGCGCUUGCAGAGGAGGCAGCCGAGGCUCUGAGGCAGCCAAGAACAAGCAGCACAGGCUGGCGAGCAGGGAGGGAGCCGGGAACAGGCUGGCAUGUGGACAAACCCCCACUGCUGUACAGCUAUUAUCUGCUUUUCCCAAAGUGCUCCUCAACGCAUCACCCCAACAGGAGUGAGGGAAUGAGUUCCCACCACCACCCUUCGCUCACACUCUCAUUCCCCUGACGUGGGGAGGUAGAGAGGUGGGAGCUGACCUGGACACGAUGCUCUCACACCUCCAGAUCCGUGAUGCAGCCAAGGUCAGUCCUGCCCCCCCAGAACCCUUGGGGAGCUUGUAGGGAUGCUCCCGACUCAUCCCCUUGGGAUGCUGCUGAGGGGAUGUGGGGCCAGAGGGCUGCAGGCAGCACAGCUUUACCACCACCAUUCUCUCUGUUCACGCUUGCAGUCACCACUGGCCUGUUUUAGCUCCUUCCCCUGGGAUUUUAACACCAGAACUCGCCUGCAGUUUGGGUGGGAGGGGAGGAUGCGCGUUGCCUCUGUCAGCAAAUCCUCCUGAAGAGAUGCAAAGGACUUCCCUAGACACAUGGAAGUGUUGGCUCUUGUUCCCAGCUGGGGAAACUGAGGCAGGGAGUGAGGGAAAACCACUGCCGCAAGUCUCCUGCAUGGGUUAAUGCGGAGACCGCAACCAAAAGCAGUGAAACUUGAAGGUCCCAUGUGCCUUUAGCUGUGCCAGCACCUCGGGGUGCUCCACACCUCCAGAAAGCAGGCUGCCUGCGACCCGUCCUGGGUAACCAGAGCUGUAGGAGGUGACAAACCACUUCCCUGCCCUGAAACCGAUCGGAUGCUGUGGAGCCAGAGGGAGCAAGGAUGAGCUGGACAUGCUGUAGCCAGAAAGGAAAGGCCUGGGCAGGGGAGAUGAGCUCUGCCUGGUGGCCCUGAGCUGUCCCAUGGCCUCUCAGCCACUGAUGGCCACAGCCACGCGGGGUGAUGCUCAGGGACUGCGGGUUUCUCGCUGCUGACUCUAAUCCGCCUCACCCCGAUAUAGCCACUGACCCGCUGGGCAGCUAAACUUAGCAGGAUGAAUCCUGCCCUGUGGCAGCAGGGCAGUGGGGACGGGGCCAUAAGCACAGGUCCAGGACCCUCGGACCACCUCCCAGAGGCUGGGCAGGCCCCAGGGGUGUGGAUGGAGGAGACAGGAGCAGGGAGAUGGGGCACUCAGGCCAUGAGCUCAGCUCACAGCCUCGAGGGAGCCAGACCCGCCCGUGAGCCCAAAGCGGAGACGUGGCACGAGCCCCCUUUAGCCGCCCCCGUUCCUCCCCUGUGUCUCACGGGAGAAGCGUCCCGGGCAAUGCGGCACAGGGAGGGCCCGGGGGUGCAGCAGCAGCUGGUGCUGUCACUUGCGAGGGACACCGAGGGCAGAGGGGCAGGGGCCAGGUCCGGUCCCUCGCAUCCUUGGGGAGCUGCUCGGCGGGGCUGAGAGCCUCCCACUCGUGACCGGUGGGAGCGGAUCCCGCGGGGGAGCCGGCCCGGACGGGGCGGGCGCAGCGCUCACCGCUGCGGUAACGCUGCCCUCUAACGGCCGCCGGCCGGCCCCGCUCCAGCCCGGCCCCACGGGCUCCCCCCACGCUGGUUGCGGGGGGCUCGGGGGGACCCCCCCCACCGGCCCGUCCCGGCGCUGUUCUCACCUGCGCGUGGACCAUGCCGCAGUCCCCGCAGGCCUCCGUGCAGCUCCCGGGCAGCACCAGGCACAGGACCCCGCGGCCGCCCCGAUCCAGCUCCGGCCGCCCCAGCGGGGAUGGGGGGGUCCCCCCCGGGGGACUUUGCCCCGCCAGCCCCGGUGCUCGGCUGACCCCAGCGCUGCAGGGCCCGGGGGCUGCGGGGCCGCCCCACAGCCGCCUGCGUGCGGCUCCAGCGAGGCGCUGGCGGGUCACCAGGAGCAGAUUAGUGAGGUAAGGGGAGA